AUUGAACGCUGGCGGCAGGCCUAACACAUGCAAGUCGAACGGUAACAGGAAGCAGCUUGCUGCUUUGCUGACGAGUGGCGGACGGGUGAGUAAUGUCUGGGAAACUGCCCGAUGGAGGGGGAUAACUACUGGAAACGGUAGCUAAUACCGCAUAACGUCGCAAGACCAAAGAGGGGGACCUUAGGGCCUCUUGCCAUCGGAUGUGCCCAGAUGGGAUUAGCUAGUAGGUGGGGUAACGGCUCACCUAGGCGACGAUCCCUAGCUGGUCUGAGAGGAUGACCCGCCCCACUGGAACUGGACCCCGGGCCAGACCCCUACGGGAGGCAACAGUGGGUAAUAUUGCCCAAUGGGCGCAACCCUGAUGCACCCAUGCCGGGUGUAUGAAGAAGGCCUUCGGGUUUUAAAGUACUUUAAGGGGGGGGGAAGGGAAUAAAUUUAAUACCUUGCCUCUUUGACGUUACCCGCAGAAGAAGCACCGGCUAACCCCGU
This 489-nucleotide ribosomal RNA is filed under the name uncultured bacterium. RNAcentral describes it as "partial 16S ribosomal RNA". It matches the Rfam family "Bacterial small subunit ribosomal RNA", at positions 30 to 506 of the family's 1533-position model. The record is from RNAcentral.